UAAAUGACAACUCAGUAGGCCUUAACAG
RNAcentral lists this small RNA (28 nucleotides) under Bombyx mori (domestic silkworm). Its description in RNAcentral is "ovarian small RNA-18486". The record is from RNAcentral. Lineage: Eukaryota; Metazoa; Arthropoda; Insecta; Lepidoptera; Bombycidae.